RNAcentral lists this long non-coding RNA (1657 nucleotides) under Oncorhynchus kisutch (coho salmon). RNAcentral describes it as "lncRNA (ENSOKIG00005025263.1)". The record is from RNAcentral. Lineage: Eukaryota; Metazoa; Chordata; Actinopteri; Salmoniformes; Salmonidae.
AAAGCAGGUCAACAAGAAGAACCACUGCACUCCAACACCUUCCCAGAACCAGACUCCUGCCGUCAGUGAAACAGGUAUCUUCACGCACGACUGGACAGGCCUUUUGGAUACGCUUGUCCAAGUGAGCAAGACCUGCCAGCAGAGCUCACUGGAGCAGGGAGACAUGCCGUCAUCCUUUUGGCGCCUGACAAAGCUUGAGAUUCAGAUCCUGCUGAACGAUGUUAAGCAUUCGAUUAACCACAUGCAGGGGACGCUGAACACCAUGCAGGGGCAGUGUAUUGAGUUGCAGACUGCCAUGUCUAAGGUAGUGUCAGAUGAGUCUCAGAUACAGAAGAAUAAGUCUAUGAUGGUAUGGUGAUAAUGAUUGAGAUGGUGAUUAUAAUAAUGAUGACUAGCGGUACCCCACCCUAAGGGCAGUAAAUCAUUGGAUCUGAUUAAUUAAAUUCAAUGCAAUUCAAUCUUUGAGGACUGCAACCAUAGAAAUACAAUGACUUUACACUAAUAAUAAGCUAUUGUCAACUUGCCGUCAAUGCUUAUCUUGCUCAUUGCUCACUGUCAAUUGCUGACUGUUACCCUAUGAGUGCAACUAUUAUUGAUUUCUCACAGAAAAAUUAUUUGGUUGCAAAUGUACCUGGGGCCAUGUAAAUAAUUGUUAGGCUACUCAUUUUGAAUCCACCGGUGGCAACUUGUGUGACCAUAAAAGUCUGUGCGACUUGGCACAGUAAAAUAAUUUGGUUACUGCCUGCCCUACAUCAUAGAAGGCACUUCAAGUCGAACUAGGACAUUUUGACAUUUCUGACUCACUAACUCGUCAUGGAAUGACUAACUCGUCAUGGAAAGUUUCCCACUUGUGAAGUAUUAGAAUCAACCAGUAGGAAGCUCUACGCUAAUAACUUACAUUCAUUUUAACUCUGAGGUUCCAAGUUUCCGAUGGCAUGUGAAUGAGUCAAUAAUUGCUAUGGUCAUUUUGAAUGUUCAGUCAGUGAGCAUUAUGUGUAAUUGUCCUACAUACUUACAUCAAAUACUUUAUGAUAGCAUCAUCUCCUGUAGUAACAGUGCCAUUCCAAACACAAUAAAUGUAAAAAUGAACAAAGAUACAAAAUAUUGCUAAAGUGAAGAAAAUCAGCUCAAAAUUGUAGGAGGAAAUGCCCCUGCAGCAGGGAGGCUUACGGUAUUAUAAUAUAUUGUAGAUAACAUUAAUAUAAUUUGUGUAUUUACAAUAUCAGUACACAUACAAAUGAAAGUAUAUGCUAGGGAAUGAUCUACACUGAGUGAACAAAACAUUAAGAACACCUUCCUAUUGAUGCCCCACCCUUGGUGGUGGACCAUUGUUGAUACUCAGGGAAAACUAUUGAGCUGAAAAACCCAACAGCUUCUGGCACCUACUACCAUACUCUGUUCAAAGGGACUUAAAUGUUUGGUCUUGCCCAUUCACCCUCUGAAUGACACACAUACACAAUCCAUGUCUCAAUUGUCUAAAAGUCCAUCUUUAACCUGUCUCCUCCCCUUCAUCUACACUGAGAAGAAGAUUUAACAAUUAACAUCAAUAAGGGAUUAUAGCUUUCACCUGAUUAGUCUGUGUCACAGAAAGAGAAGGUGUUCUUAAUAAUGUUUAAUACACUCAGUGUACUAUGUGUCAAUGAUGCUAUAGAUUCCA